UCGAGGGGCAGCGGGGCGGCAGGCUUGCCUGCCGCCGCCGGCGACCGGCGCACGGGUGAGUAACACGUAUGCAACCUGCCCGUGGCAGGGGGAUAAGCGGGGGAAACCCCGUCUAAUACCGCGUAACGCGGCCUAGGGACAUCCCAAGGCCGCCAAAGGGAGCAAUCCCGGCCACGGAUGGGCAUGCGGCGCAUUAGCUAGUCGGCGGGGUAACGGCCCACCGAGGCGACGAUGCGUAGGGGUUCUGAGAGGAAGGCCCCCCACACUGGUACUGAGACACGGACCAGACUCCUACGGGAGGCAGCAGUGAGGAAUAUUGGUCAAUGGGCGCGAGCCUGAACCAGCCAAGUCGCGUGAGGGAGGACGGCCCUACGGGUUGUAAACCUCUUUUGCCGGGGAGCAACGGGCGCCGCGUGUGGCGCCACUGAGAGUACCCGGAGAAAAAGCAUCGGCUAACUCCGUGCCAGCAGCCGCGGUAAUACGGAGGAUGCGAGCGUUAUCCGGAUUUAUUGGGUUUAAAGGGUGCGUAGGCGGAUCGUUAAGUCAGUGGUCAAAUUGAGGGGCUCAACCCCUUCCCGCCAUUGAAACUGGCGAUCUUGAGUGGAAGAGAAGUAUGCGGAAUGCGUGGUGUAGCGGUGAAAUGCAUAGAUAUCACGCAGAACCCCGAUUGCGAAGGCAGCACGCCGGCUUCCUACUGACGCUGAAGCACGAAAGCGUGGGGAUCGAACAGGAUUAGAUACCCUGGU
RNAcentral lists this ribosomal RNA (746 nucleotides) under uncultured bacterium. RNAcentral describes it as "bacterial SSU rRNA". It matches the Rfam family "Bacterial small subunit ribosomal RNA", at positions 62 to 791 of the family's 1533-position model. The record is from RNAcentral.